Molecule: ribosomal RNA, 253 nt
Filed under: uncultured bacterium
Lineage: Bacteria
Description: partial 16S ribosomal RNA
Rfam family: Bacterial small subunit ribosomal RNA
Source: RNAcentral
UACGUAGGGUCCGAGCGUUGUCCGGAAUUAUUGGGCGUAAAGAGCUCGUAGGCGGUUUGUCGCGUCUGCUGUGAAAUCCCGAGGCUCAACCUCGGGCCUGCAGUGGGUACGGGCAGACUAGAGUGCGGUAGGGGAGAUUGGAAUUCCUGGUGUAGCGGUGGAAUGCGCAGAUAUCAGGAGGAACACCGAUGGCGAGGGCAGAUCUCUGGGCCGUAACUGACGCUGAGGAGCGAAAGCAUGGGGAGCGAACAGG